UAUGUGUAACUUGAUAACAAGCAGUGUGCAGUGUGAAUAAAAAUCAAGUAAAAUCUUUUACCUGAUUUUUAUUUACAUAGAUUUAUUUUUAUUCCUUACAUAUCCAGAAUCCCAAACUCGAGAUGUGCGCAUAUACCGACCGAUUCGAUUUAUCGAUUCAUAAAAGUUGCAGCUAAAUCAUCACCUUCAUCAUAUCUCUAGGAAAUGUAGUCAAAUCGAUUUUUUUAAAUUAAAAUCUUUGUAACCAUCGAUUAGGGUAAAGUCUUUUGUCGAUUUGAUCAAUAAGCACACCUCUACAAGAAGUGUUUAGUUCGGCGGCGGCGGCGCUUGCACCUUCCCGCAUUCCCGCCAAUUGUUCACACGCUUUCCGCAAGACAUAAUAGAAAAUUGUUUGUAAAGUUUUUGAUUGCUGUUGUUAGUGUGUUUUUACCAGACCAAAAUGCUAUCUUGGGAUAUCAUUGUUUGGACUAGCGAAAAUGCAAUAGAUUUUGUUCCUUCCAUUUGGAAAAAUGAAGACGGAACGGCAUAUAAGUACUCAUGUGGUAUGUCAGAUCACACAAAACGACAGUUCAUUUAUGAAUGCAAAGAUUUAACAAAAAAUUACAUCUGGUGCAACGCCAAAAUUAAAAAGACGCAGAUAAGUAUUUUAAAAAAGGCGAAGAAUCUCUGUAGAAAAGGAGAAGAAAACUUGGAAAGUAGUGAUGAGGAUGAAGAUAAUUGCACGGUUAGGAAACGUAAACCGAAUAAGAGAUUUAUCGAAGACAGUAGCAGUAAUGAUGCAGAUCUGCCAAGUAAAAAAACUGUCACAGAGAUAAUGAAAAUAUUUCCGCUUCACAAGGAAAAAAAAUUUCAAGUCCCCUGCUCCAAUAAAAUAGCACCACGUCCAAUCUCACAGUCAUCAGUUUUCAAUGAUUCUCGAUCCACACUGACAAUGACCUCGACCUCUACCAUGGUAUCACCUAAUAUUAUUGACCACACUAAUGACAUACGUUCAGAAGAGAGUAUGGGGGCAGAUAAGAGAUUUACAAAAAUUCUCUAUUUUAUGGAAGAAGUCAACAAGAAAUUAAAUAACCUAGAAAAUAUUGUUCUUGGGCAGGCUUCAUGCGGAACUUCAACUUUUAACAACAACAACAACAGUGUUAACCCAUUCUCUCUACCUGUAGGAAGCACAUAGGACUUAGAUAACCUAAAUGAUACAAUAAAGAAUGAUAUCAAACUAUUCAAUGAACUUGUGCACGGACUUUUCCUUCUUGGUGGGGAGGAUUCUCACAAGGCGGUAUUCGCAAUGCUUAAUAAAUUAAUUACUAAAGAUCUGGCCCUUAAAUAUUCCGGCUGUGGAAAAAAAAAGAAGUUGGCAUUUUUUUCGUUGAAAAGCAUUUUUGAUGCAAUAAGUGCCGCAUUGCGUAAGAGAUUUCCCUCUGUGCUGGACAUCGACAUUAAAAAAUCAAUUGGUGUAUUUUGGCAUCAGCCAAAUCCAGGUUGAAUAAGAAUUAAUGUGUAAUAUUAAUAUGUAAUAUUUUUGUUUUGUUUUUUGUUUUAGUAUUUAUUUGUUUUGUAAUACUUUAAGAAGUUUACAUACUGGGUGAGUCAUUGAUAUAGGCGUGCUCGAUUACACCUACGGAUUUUUAAAGCCUAAAAAAGUGCAAAUUGAAAUAUGUAAAAACAUACAGGGGGUGCCAUUUAAAAAAACUAUGUUAUAGGCUGCACUGUACAAAUGGAGCACCCUGUUUAGAGCAAAAUACGUUUAUAAAAUGCACUUUGACCUCCCAAUUGCAGUGCCCUUUGACUCAUUUCAAUAUCAUUGACGGUGUAGGUCUAAUCAAGCAUGCCUAGAUGAAGGACUUACCCUGUAUAUUUUUGAAUUGUUUUUUUUUUAGUUUACAAAACUGUAAUAAACAUAAUAUACAGUUUAGCAUUUA
Molecule: long non-coding RNA, 1919 nt
Organism: Tribolium castaneum (red flour beetle)
Lineage: Eukaryota; Metazoa; Arthropoda; Insecta; Coleoptera; Tenebrionidae
Exons: 6
Source: RefSeq, a predicted model, not a curated record